RNAcentral lists this long non-coding RNA (6617 nucleotides) under Ananas comosus (pineapple). RNAcentral's name for it is "long non-coding RNA (ACOM_LNC017043)". Lineage: Eukaryota; Viridiplantae; Streptophyta; Magnoliopsida; Poales; Bromeliaceae. The record is from RNAcentral.
UAAUAACUAAAACUUACGUACCCUUGGCACAAUCUAAUGCAAAUACAGAAAUCUGGGUCCAUCGUCAACCGCGACGACACCCGACAGUACGAAACAGUCUACACACUACUGUAAAAUAAACUCGGUAUCCCAGUACGAGCGUAAACCCCUCCUACACUAAUCUGAGUAUCUACCGCAUACAAACUGCGGCAAUACAAACAAACCACAGCAUCUAACGCUAAAUCUGGUAGUUUUCAGAAAAUGACAGUGUAGGAUUUACAGUUUUCUCCUAAGUCAAUUCCAAGUCCAGCAUGUAAAAUUAUACUACUACUACUUAACUCCAAAUUCAUAUUUUAAGCCUAAUCCAUGAAUUCGAGUACAAGCAAGAAAAUAAACACAUGAUACAUGUUGACGAUAUAAAAACUUAGGAGGUAUUUCGGCGAUUUCGGUAAACUUCAACCCACCUCGAAAAGUUUGUCCAACAACAGCGAGAAGUCGAGAGAAGGGAAAACACACGCUCGCCCGGCCUCCAACGGUGCAACCGCGACAUCCUCGCGCUCGAACGGCUCCCCGACGCAACGUCGACGUCGAUCCGAGCUCAAGCCGUAGCCUCCACCAAGCACACAAUUAAAACUAGAGAGAUGAACAUGAGAUAAUUAAUCUCUCUCAAGUGGAUAAAUAUAAGGGAGUAGGUGGCGUGGAUAACUAUCACCACAAAUGACCACCAUACCCCUUUACCAACUCAAAAAACAGCUAGAGUACCGGUACCCGAUUUGGUUACCGGUACUCGGCCUCUUAGCCCACAAGCUCACACACAGGGUACCAGUACCAGCCCGAUACCGUACCGGUACUCAACACUGAAAUCUUGCACUUUGCGGAUUUCAGCGUCAGAACUCCACUCUCGCCUCGCGUUGACUCCGUUUUGUAUCCAUUUCAUGCCAAAACUUCUCCGACUGGUCCCGAUACUCUCCAGAUGUGUCGACAAGCCUCAGAUGCUGAAAUCACACAGGCUACAGAACACCAGGGAUACUACAUCUUCCUCCACUAUAAAAACUUUGGUCCUCGAAACUUAGAAGCAUACCUCAAACCUGAGUCUCGAACAAGUAGGGAUAGGACUCCUGCAUCACCGUCUCUGGCUCCCACGUCGCCUCACGCUCCUCGUGAUUGCUCCACUGCACUUUUACAUAAGAAAUGACCCGGUUGCGUAAUUCUUUCAUCUCACGAGACCGAAUUCGCACCGGUCGCUCCCCAUAUCUCAAGUCCUCCAGUGGAGUGAAGUCAAUCACGUGGGAGGGGUCGAACACGUAUCUUCUCAAAACUGAGACGUGAAAUAUAUCAUGAAUGCCGGCCAAUCUUGGGGGUAGAGCAAUCCUGUAUGCUACUGAUCCGACUCGCUCCAAUACCUCAAAAGGGCCUACAAAGCGCGGACUGAGCUUUCCACGUACUCUGAAUCUGUGUAUCCCUCGGGACGGCGAGACUUUUAAAAACACACGAUCUCCAACCUGAAACUCUAAGUCUCGUCUCCUGGUAUCGGCGUAGCUCCUCUGUCGACUCUAGGCUGUCAAAAUGUAUCGUUGCGCAACCUUGACCUUCUCCUCUGCCUCUAUCAGAAUCUCAGGUCCCAGAGUGUUCCUUUCACCCACAUAACUCUAAUGCAAAGGGGAUCAACACCUGCGUCCAUACAACACUUUAAACGGAGUCAUCUGAAUGCUCGUUUGAUAGCGGUUGUUGUAUGCAAACUCAACCAGUCUCAAAUGUCGAUGCCACCCUCCUCCAAAGUUCAGGACACAUGGUCUCAGUAUGUCCUCCAGAGUCUGAAUUUUCCACUAUAAUGGACCAUCUGUCUGUGGGUGAAAUGUUAUGCUGAAAUGUAGCUGUGUACCCAAGGCCAUCUUAAGACUCUUCCAGAAAUGCGAGACAAAUCUCGGGUCUCGAUCCGAUACUAUCGAGGUAGGCACACCAUGCAAUCUAACAAUCUUAUCUAAGUAUAGCUAAGCGAGUCUCUCUCUGGAUCAGGUGGUCUGUACUGGUAGGAAGUGAGCAGACUUGGUCAGCCCACUAUCACCCAAAUAGCAUCGAAACCACCCUAUGCUCUAGGUAAUCCCAAGACAAAGUCCAUCGUAAUCUGCUCCCAUUUCCACUCGGGCACUGGCAGGUUCUAAAGCUUGCCAGCAGGCACCUGAUGCUCUGCAUUUACUUGUUGGCAAGUCAGACACUGAGCCACAUAUCUGCGAAUGUCCCGCUUCAUUCCAUUCCACCAAAAGUGUGCCUUCAAGUCCUUAUACAUCUUGGUUCCACCGGGGUGAACCGUAUAAAGUGAGUAAUGAGCCUCUCUCAAAAUCUCCUCUCGGAUCUCUGAAUCCAUAGGAGUCCCUGUACUGGAGUACUCCCGAACUGUCUACUGAAAAGGCCUCCGCCUGUCCCCUCUCUAACUGCUCUCGAAUCCUCAACAAGUGAGAGUCUCUACUCUAUUUCUCCAUGAUCCUGUCCAACAAAGUGGGCUGCAAGACCAUAGACAUCAGUCUCGUAGUAGACCCAGGGGACACUAUCUCAAGCCUCAACCGCUGUAGCUCCUCAAGUAACGGUCUCUGCUAAGUAAUCAACAUGCUGAAGCUCUGCACUGACUUCCUGCUCAACGCAUCUGCCACCACAUUCGCUUUGCUAGGAUGAUACUGAAUGCUAACAUCAUUAUUUUUCAAUAACUCCAACCACCGGCGCUGCCUCAGAUUCAACUCCUUCUGGGUAAAUAGAUACUUGAGACUUUUAUAAUCAGUGAAAACCUCACUGUGCUCGCCAUACAAAUACUGCCGCCACAACUUCAAGGCAAAAAUCACUGUAGCAAGCUCCAAGUCAUGCGUAGAGUAAUUCUUCUCGUAAUCCUUCAAUUAUCGGGAAGCAUAAGCAAUUACCCUACCAUGCUGCAUCAGAACACAACCCAACCCACUAUGUGAUGCAUCACUGUAGAUCACAAAUCCUUCCCCCAUAACUGGAAGGGCAAGGAUAGGAGCUGACAUUAGCCUCAGUCUCAACUCGUCGAAGCUCCUCUAACAAUCCUCACUCCGAAUAAACUUAAUUCCCUUUCGAGUCAAUCGAGUGAGGGAUGUGGAAAGCUUCGCAAAGCUUUCCACAAACCUAAGAUAAAAUCCAGCUAGUCCAAGAAAACUCCUCACCUCAGUCACCGUCGUCGGUCUGAGCCAAUCCCAAAUAGCAUCAAUCUUCUUCGGGUCCACUGCUACUCCAACUGCAGAAAUCACAUGGCCUAAGAAAGAAACCUCCUGCAGCCAAAACUUGCAUUUCUUCAAUUUAGCAUACAACUUCUUCUCCCUCAGAAGCUGUAAUACUAUCCUCAAGUGCUCCUAAUGCUCAACAUCACUCUAGGAGUAUAUCAAAAUAUCAUCAAUGAAUACAACAACGAAUCUAUCCAAGUACGGCUUGAACACUCUAUUCAUCAAAUCCAUAAAUGCGGCAGGGGCAUUCGUCAAUCCAAAAGGCAUCACAGUGAACUCAUAAUACAAAAAGUCGUCUUGAAAACAUCUUCGGCCCUCACCCUCAACUGGUGAUGACCUGACUGGAGAUCAAUCUUCGAAAAGAUACAAGAUCCUUGCAGCUGAUCAAACAGAUCAUCAAUACGCGGCAAAGGAUACUUAUUCUUGAUAGUCACUUUAUUCAGCUCCCGAUAAUCCACACAUAAUCUAAGUGAACCAUCCUUCUUCUUCACGAAUAAUACCGGCACUCUCCAAGGCUAUACACUGGGUCUCACAUACAUAUCCCUUAUCUAUCAGAUCCUGAAGCUGCGCCUUCAGCUCUCUCAGCUCUGUCGGUGCCAUUCAGUAGGGUGCCUUCGAGAUUGGCGCAAUUCUAGGAACUACGUCAAUCACAAACUCGAUCUCUCUAUCCGGCGGUAAAGUCGUCAACUCCGAGGAGAAAACAUCCGAAAACUCACGAACUAUAGGGAUACCCUCGAGUCCUAGCGCCGCCGUAGGCACCUCUACAACCAUCGCCAGAAAAGCAGUGCAUCCUCUACUCAUCAACUGUCGAGCCCUCGCCGAUGAAAUCCAAGUGGCAAACAACAUACUCCUGCAGCCUCUGUACGUGAACUCCUCAUGGCCUGGCUCGCGGAACGUCACUAUCCUCAUUCCACAGUCGAUCGUAGCAUAGUAUCGCACCAGUAAAUCCAUGCCAAGCACAACAUCAAAGUACUACAGCUGCUCUAAGACCAACAAGUCUGCGGGCAUAAUCCAGGAGCCCAACUGCACCAGACACGACCAACAACACUCUGCUACCUGCAAAAUAUGGUCGAAAAUCUGCACCUCUCGUGCAUGCAAAAACGACCCUACCUCUAGACCAUGCAAUGAUGUAAAUGCUCGGCUAACAAAAGAAUAUGAUAUGCCGGUAUCAAAUAAGGUACGAGCUCUAAUACCAGAAAUCAAAAUGAUACCUGCCACCACCUGGCCGGCUGCUGUAGAGUCCAUCAUUCUCCUCCACCAAGAAUGCGCAUCGCGAGCCAAACAAUGCACUCCCAGAUGUACUUGCUCCCGCUCCGGUAUAAACAAAUUCUCAAAUAAUUUCUCCAUCACGCUCACCCAGCCCUCUACAACCCAGAGCUCCGUACAGCUGCCGUCAAAGCACAGCGGAUCAAACCGACGAAAACAAGUAAGCCUCUCAAUCAUUCGCUCCUGCUCAGCCUCAGACAUUUGCGACGCCUCUCCAAAGAAUGCAACUGGCGCCGAAGGAACUGUCACUUGUGGGGGUACAGCUGUGGCUGGUGCGGCCAUGGGAAUAGUCAGUGCUGCUGCUGACUGCUCUAGUGCUCUAAGCGCUGCGCUUGGCGGUGGAGUAAAUGUCUCACACAUCCUCUAUAACAGUGCCCCCUACUACCUCGUUGCCUCAGUCAAGGCAGCCAACUGUCUCUCAGAUCAGGGGGUACACUCAGCCCUGCCUACUCAGGCACCUCUGAUGGUGUGGCACGAUCCCGCGUCGGCGGUCGGCCUCGGCGUCGAUACAUGGCUACCUGAAAUCAAAACAAAGGUCAGAUACAAAACACAAUCAACUCUCGACCCAAUCAAGCGAAAGUCUAGAAGGCCGCCCCUGUUUCUCUUCAAAAUUAUGUCGUCUGCAGCCGACAUAAUUUCCUUGGCCGAAACAGACACUCCUUAAGUGACUCACUCCACUUUAGGAUAAGUUAAAACAAUUCAAUCGCUGACUUUCGUGAUAAAUCACGCCUCUCGCGUCUUGCCUUCCUAUGGUUUGCCAAGCAUAAAGUUUUCUAGGUCCCAACGACCUAAUACUAAACUCUGAUACUAACUUAAUCUGUCACGCCCUGGAUUACCACGUUUUUCCAGGCACGCCAACAGACCCACCGUAUAUAAAAGAAUUUCCUCUGUAUACGAAGUAAUAGCUGUACCUGUAUCUGUAAUCAUACAAAACUACAAUUAGUAGUAUAGAGCUACUAAACUGAACUGUAUAUAAAUAAACAUCAGAUUCACCAUACAUACAAAGUCUCCCUGAUACAACAUCUCUCGCUCCAGCGAGUAACAGCAUAAAUACGUACAUGAGCUACUAAACUGAACUGUAUAUAAAUAAACAUCAGAUUCACCAUACGUACAAAGUCUCCCUGAUACAACAUCUCUCGCUCCAGCGAGUAACAGCAUAAAUAUGUACAUGAACCAGAGAAGGGAUCUAGCUCGCAACUGGUACUCCUCUAGUACUGCAACCAGGGAAGAGAUCUAGCUCGCAACUUCCUUUCCACGAUCAGUAUCGGCGACAGCAGCAGCCACAGAAGAAGGCUCUGCAAAAAGGGGUCAACAACUGAGUGUGAGAACUACUGCAAGAAGAAGUAGUCCUCAGUGGAUACCGCUACCGACCUUAACGGCUCACCAACUAAGUCUACAGCAAGUAUGUAGAAGGAUAGUAAAGGAAGCUGGUAAAACUCUACAACUAUAUGCCACUAUACUAUCACUAACCAACUCUAAUUAUCUGUAAAUAUGCAUCCCCUGCAACAACGGCUAUGCUGUCAAAGGACUGCCAACAGGCCCAUCCCACCUGUGUCCGAGCUAUACCGCACACCACCACUGAGGUGGCCGGUCCUAAAGCACCGUCCGAACAGUACUGUUGUGACAACAAAACAAAAGUGUAAAGCCAGACUCCGGAGUCGCACUCGUGGGCGCUACCCAACCGAGUUUACAAGCGUGUCUCUACUGAGCUCAAUCAGGCUCUCACAGGCUAUAAUCAAAGCAAAUGGGUCUAACAACCAAAACUCACGUGCUCUUGGCACAAUCUGAUGCAAAUACAGAAAUCUGGGUCCACUGUCAACCGCGACGACACCCGACAGUCCGAAACAGUUUACACACUACUGUAAAAUAAAUUCGGUAUCCCAGCAUGAGCGUAAACCCCUCCUACACUAAUCUGAGCAUCUACCGCAUACAAACUGCGACAAUACAAACAAAGCACAGCACCUAACGCUAAAUCUGAUAGUUUUCAGAAAAUGACAGUGUAGAAUUUGCAGUUUUCUCCUAAGUCAAUUCUAAGUUCAACAUGUAAAAGUAUACUACUACUAUUUAACUCCAAAUUCAUAUUUUAAACCUAAUCCAUGAAUUCGAGUACUAGCAAGAAAAUAAACACAUGAUACAUAUUGACAA